RNAcentral lists this unclassified non-coding RNA (452 nucleotides) under Hevea brasiliensis (rubber tree). Lineage: Eukaryota; Viridiplantae; Streptophyta; Magnoliopsida; Malpighiales; Euphorbiaceae. The record is from RNAcentral.
UACCCUUCCCAGGAAGCACAAGAACAGCUCCUUCAUCACCAACGCCUUUGAUGGUAUAAUAUGCAAAAACAGGUUUAUGUCCUUUCAAUUCCAGCCCAUAAAUAUCUGCUUGUUCCAAAUUCACAAAUGUCAAAUUUGUUCCAUAUACCAUAUACUCUCCCUUGCCACUCUCAACUGUUUCUUCAAUCAGACUAUUUUCCUCUUCUUGUUUCUCUGCAAUCAAUGCUGCCAAUUCUUGUAAAUCGCCUUUCGCCGGGUUGAUAUCUGUUCUAGCAAUGCUAAACACUAUCUUGUUGCUUGGAACUUCAUUCUCAUCCGUUUCACUAGUGCGAGAAAUUCUUGUACAAAAUGUCACAAUUCUUGGUCCUGAAUCUCCCCUGACUUUGGAUAAAGAUUUCCAUAUCAUUGCAGAGAUGACUUCGAAGUGCGAGAUCUUUACCGGCUGGGCUAGA